Molecule: small RNA, 125 nt
Filed under: Marmota monax (woodchuck)
Lineage: Eukaryota; Metazoa; Chordata; Mammalia; Rodentia; Sciuridae
Source: RNAcentral
GCCGGGUGGGGUGGCGCACACCUGUAAUCCCAGUGGCUCAGGAGGAUGAGGCAGGAGGAUAGCGAGUUCAAAGCCAGUCUCAGCAAAAGCAAGGCGCUAAGCAACUCAGUGAGAGCCUGUCUCUA